RNAcentral lists this unclassified non-coding RNA (329 nucleotides) under soil metagenome. RNAcentral describes it as "partial contains 5.8S ribosomal RNA, internal transcribed spacer 2, and large subunit ribosomal RNA". The stretch from base 1 to 120 matches the Rfam family "5.8S ribosomal RNA", at positions 35 to 154 of the family's 154-position model. The record is from RNAcentral.
GAUGAAGAACGUAGUGAAAUGCGAUAAGUAGUGUGAAUUGCAGAAUUCAGUGAAUCAUCGAAUCUUUGAACGCACAUUGCGCCCCUUGGUAUUCCGAGGGGCAUGCCUAUUCGAGCGUCAUUAUCACCCCUCAAGCCUAGCUUGGUGUUGAGACCUGCUGUCAAGGCAGUCUCUAAAAUCAGUGGCAGUGCUGUCAGGCUCUAAGCGUAGUAAAUCUAAUCGCUAUAGACACCUGGUGGACACUCGCCAGAACCCCCCCAUUUUUUAAUGAUUGACCUCGGAUUAGGUAGGGAUACCCGCUGAACUUAAGCAUAUCAAUAAGCGGAGGA